RNAcentral lists this long non-coding RNA (256 nucleotides) under Numida meleagris (helmeted guineafowl). RNAcentral's name for it is "lncRNA (ENSNMEG00000004136.1)". Lineage: Eukaryota; Metazoa; Chordata; Aves; Galliformes; Numididae. The record is from RNAcentral.
UUCGGUGCCAUUUUGGUGCAGUUUCUGUUCCAAUUUUGGUGCCAUUUUGGUGCCAUUUUGGUGCUGUUCUGCCACCAUUUUGGUGCCAUUCUGGUGGCAUUAUUUCGUGUCAUUUUGGUGCCAUUUCGGUGCCAUUUUGGUGUAAUUUCAGUGCAGUUUUGGUGCUUUUUCUGUGCCAUUUUGGAGCCAUUUUGGUGUCAUUUUGGUGGCAUAAUUUCGUGUCAUUUCAGUGCCAUUUUGGUGCCAUUUUGGCUCU